This 254-nucleotide ribosomal RNA is filed under the name uncultured bacterium. RNAcentral describes it as "partial 16S ribosomal RNA". It matches the Rfam family "Bacterial small subunit ribosomal RNA", at positions 524 to 776 of the family's 1533-position model. The record is from RNAcentral.
UACGUAGGUGGCAAGCGUUAUCCGGAAUUACUGGGCGUAAAGCGCACGCAGGCGGUCUUUUAAGUUUGACGUGAAAGCUCCCGGCUUAACUGGGAGAGGUCGUUGAAUACUGGAAGACUUGAGGAAAUGAGAGGGGUGUAGAAUUCCCGGUGUAGUGGUGGAAAUGCGUAGAUAUCGGGGGGAAUACCAGUGGCGAAAGCGGCACCCUAGCAUUUUUCUGACGCUCAUGUGCGAAAGCGUGGGGAGCGAACGGG